GACGAAUGCUGGCGGCGUGCCUAACACAUGCAAGUCGAACGGAACUGUUUUGAAAGAUUUCUUCGGAAUGAAUUUGAUUUAGUUUAGUGGCGGACGGGUGAGUAACGCGUGAGUAACCUGCCUUCAAGAGGGGAAUAACAUUCUGAAAAGAAUGCUAAUACCGCAUGACAUAUCGGAACCACAUGGUUUUGAUAUCAAAGAUUUUAUCGCUUGAAGAUGGACUCGCGUCCGAUUAGUUAGUUGGUGAGGUAACGGCUCACCAAGACCGCGAUCGGUAGCCGGACUGAGAGGUUGAACGGCCACAUUGGGACUGAGACACGGCCCAGACUCCUACGGGAGGCAGCAGUGGGGGAUAUUGCGCAAUGGGGGCAACCCUGACGCAGCAACGCCGCGUGAAGGAUGAAGGUUUUCGGAUUGUAAACUUCUUUUAUUAAGGACGAAAAAUGACGGUACUUAAUGAAUAAGCUCCGGCUAACUACGUG
RNAcentral lists this ribosomal RNA (482 nucleotides) under uncultured bacterium. RNAcentral describes it as "partial 16S ribosomal RNA". It matches the Rfam family "Bacterial small subunit ribosomal RNA", at positions 28 to 507 of the family's 1533-position model. The record is from RNAcentral.